This is a non-coding RNA of Cordylochernes scorpioides, 72 nucleotides long. NCBI's taxonomy places the organism in Eukaryota, Metazoa, Arthropoda, Arachnida, Pseudoscorpiones, Chernetidae. The record is from the annotation of a GenBank genome assembly.
UGCAUCGGCCGGGAAUCGAACCCUGGCCGCCCGCGUAACUUGCGAGCAUUCUCGCCACUGAACCACCGAUGC